GCGGCAGGCCUGAGGCAUGCAAGUCGAACGAGAAAGUGUAGCAAUACAUGAGUAGAGUGGCGCACGGGUGAGUAACACGUGGGAACAUACCUUAAAGUGGGGGAUAACAGUUGGAAACGACUGCUAAUACCGCAUAAACCCUUCGGGGGAAAGAUUUAUCGCUUUAAGAUUGGCCCGCGUUGGAUUAGCUUGUUGGUGAGGUAAUGGCUCACCAAGGCAGUGAUCCAUAGCUGGUCUGAGAGGAUGACCAGCCACACUGGGACUGAGACACGGCCCAGACUCCUACGGGAGGCAGCAGCUAGGAAUAUUGGACAAUGGGCGAAAGCCUGAUCCAGCCAUGCCGCGUGAGUGAAGAAGGCCUUCGGGUUGUAAAGCUCUUUUAGUUAUGAAGAUGAUGACUGUAGUAACAGAAAAAGCACCGGCUAACUUCGUGCCAGCAGCCGCCGUAA
RNAcentral lists this ribosomal RNA (449 nucleotides) under uncultured bacterium. RNAcentral describes it as "partial 16S ribosomal RNA". It matches the Rfam family "Bacterial small subunit ribosomal RNA", at positions 39 to 523 of the family's 1533-position model. The record is from RNAcentral.